AUUGUUGUUGCCAUUAUCAAUACAGAUAAAGCUAUUGCUGUUAUCGUUGCUAUCAUUGCCAUAACUGCUGUGAUAACAAUGCCACAUCCUUCGGUCUGGUGCCAGUAACAAGAACACAUGAAAACUGUUGUGAAUCUGGCCGCACAGUGGGGAGGCAACGUGCCAUGGAUUCAAGUUCUCAACGAACAAGGCAGUGGUUAUGUAAUUAAACGGAAGAGGACAUCAUCGUCCACCCUUCUCCUCGAGCAACCCACUGCAUAUUGUACGGAAGGUGAAGUUCUUGAGUAUGACAUCAGCGGUGGAAGCUGAUGACACAGAUGGCGCUUGGCGCUUGCCCUGAGAGUUUUUUUCCACCUGUCACGGGGGCAGAUUCGAGCGCCAGCUUUUCCAGAUUUGUUCACCUGCCACGGGGACAGAAAGCACAAUACAUCAGGGGCUCUGCUGCUGCUCAAGAGCAAGUUGAGAGCAAUGCCACUUGAACAACUUCAUCUUGAACAUCGAGCGAGUGACAACGCCUGCAAACCUUUGGUCACGCAGGCAAAAGUUUUCCUGUAAUAAGUGAAUAAACAAGGCAAAUGGUUAUUUCCACUUGUAAUCAAACGCAUAAAAAUAAAACAUUC
RNAcentral lists this long non-coding RNA (620 nucleotides) under Penaeus japonicus. RNAcentral describes it as "uncharacterized LOC122257046". The record is from RNAcentral. Lineage: Eukaryota; Metazoa; Arthropoda; Malacostraca; Decapoda; Penaeidae.